CAGCCGCCGCGGUAAUACGGAGGGUGCAAGCGUUAAUCGGAAUUACUGGGCGUAAAGCGCACGCAGGCGGUCUGUCAAGUCAGAUGUGAAAUCCCCGGGCUUAACCUGGGAACUGCAUUUGAAACUGGCAGGCUAGAGUCUUGUAGAGGGGGGUAGAAUUCCAGGUGUAGCGGUGAAAUGCGUAGAGAUCUGGAGGAAUACCGGUGGCGAGGGCGGCCCCCUGGACAAAGACUGACGCUCAGGUGCGAAAGCGUGGGGAGCAAACAGGAUUAGAUACCCCAGUAGUCCCUGUCUCUUAUCA
This 301-nucleotide ribosomal RNA is filed under the name uncultured bacterium. RNAcentral describes it as "partial 16S ribosomal RNA". It matches the Rfam family "Bacterial small subunit ribosomal RNA", at positions 509 to 809 of the family's 1533-position model. The record is from RNAcentral.